Molecule: long non-coding RNA, 1200 nt
Filed under: Bemisia tabaci
Lineage: Eukaryota; Metazoa; Arthropoda; Insecta; Hemiptera; Aleyrodidae
Description: lncRNA ENSSSA3NGG007654
Source: RNAcentral
AUGAGCCCCUCAGAUCGCAAUGAUGAGAUGCAGAGGAAUCUGAAUCACCACAAUGACUCCGUAAAUGAGUAUCAUUUGGUGACUAGGAUGCCCAAGGUCUCUGAUUACAAUGGCAGCAGUAUUUACGCUCAAAUUGAUACGGACAAAUCUGCAAGUCUUCCUCUCAGUGUUUUAUCCAAUGACACAGACAGUGAAAGAGCGCAGAGUGAAGGGAGUGGAACUAUGUCAACCAGCUCUCGAUUCUCAGCAAAAUCAAUGCCAGGGACUCCGUCUAGCCGAGGACAGAGUCCGCGUAGACUUCGAGACACGGGUGAAGCACGGUUGCGACCAGAGGUUGCAUCGAGAUCGCCAGCCAAUAGACACAGUGCAAAUCUGAACAGCACCCUUCAGCAAGACCUGAUGAAACUGAUAAGCCCAGAGUAUCUCUCCUCUGACGACUCGACUCUGAACAAGUCCCAUGGUGGAAAUAUGUCUGGACUAAGCGGGAAAAUCUAUAGUAACGGCAACAGCGUUUCCCAGAGCACAACCAGUAUCCCAGAUUUGUUGCACCGCUCCAAAUCUCGUGACAACAUUCACAGUAGUGCCAAUUCAACUCUAAGCGGCUCAGCAUUGAGUGUGGCCAGCGAGGUCAUUCUUACCAUGGCUCGCCCGGCCACCGUUAUUUCCAAUGCACCCAGUCCUCAGCCUGGGCCUAUGGAAUCCAAACUCUCCAAAGAAGAAAGACUGUCACCUCGAGUCACAAAGCUGAGUCCUGUUAAAGCGGACCCGAAUCUCGUAAUGUCUCCGGAAUACCGGGAAGACAAAAGAAGCUCCAGCAUGCGAGAGAAACUGUCCAACUCCAUGAUUCAUAUUUCAAACUCAAGUUCUGCCUCUGAUACAGGGAUUUAUGGAGUCAGCUCUAGUACACCCCACAAAAAAAAUGAUGAAAACCUCGGCAUCUGGGUCUCUGAUGUCGCUGAAAAACUUGGAUUAGAUUCCUGUUCAAAAAUAACAAAUCGUCAGAUGGUAGAGCUGCAAAAGCACUUAUCGCAGCUAGAGAGUCGCCUGACAAGAGAGACCAAACGCAGGCUAUCUCUGGAAGACGAAGUUAGAAGCCUGCGGGAUGAAAACCGGAGACUACAAGAAGAAUCUCAAAACACUGCCCAACAGUUCCGUCAGUUCACCAACUGGUUUUAUCAAACGAUCGAAAAACAGCAAUAA